Molecule: long non-coding RNA, 4484 nt
Organism: Gasterosteus aculeatus (three-spined stickleback)
Lineage: Eukaryota; Metazoa; Chordata; Actinopteri; Perciformes; Gasterosteidae
Source: Ensembl
AUGCAAAACACUUUGCAUAAAGACUUGCCAUCCGAUCUAAUGAUAGAGUCUGCAGUCUCGUUUCCAGAGAGGGAGGCACCAGCAAAGCCUGCAACACCGAGUGAUGGAGGAAAAAACUACCAUGAUAAAACCAGACAAACUGCACAUAAGAACACGUCCUAUUGUCCAGGUGUUUCUGAGGAUAAAAAUCGUUUUGGUUUUGACUCUGGGCAGAAAAAAACUAAACAAGAAGAAGAAAUGCAAACACGAGGAGGAAGUCAAAUCCAUUUUGCCUCAUGUGUCUGCGGUGAGGAGCAGAUAAGCCAGAGGACAGGUUAAUCGGUGGUACGGAAGAAGCACAUUUAAUGGAGCACACUAUUGUGUCCAUGGCUCAUAAGCAUCCUGUAUCUAUGUUUACUCUUUGUCUACUUAAGCAAAAAAGUCAGAUUUCUACGCAAUUAAUAAAAGCAGUAUACAUACGUGUUGUUUGUUAAAAGUCUACAAACUGCAUGCCUUUCAGGUGUGCACUGUGCGGCACAUUCUGUGUGUAUAUGCACAUAAUAAACACUUGUGCUGCCUGACAGAGGUGUGAAUCUGAGAGCUUUUCUACCAAAUGAAGUGCCAGCAGAGAGAGAAAUAAAGAGAUCUGCAGCUGUCAGGGGUCAGUCAGGCAGAGAUUGCUUCUAGAGAUCUUUUGAAAAAAUCACACGUUUGAAGGCUUAGUGCUUUGCUGUCUUCGCAUUUCAAGCUCAGAUCAGUGGAAUCAGAAAAAAAAAAGAGGGGAGAACAUGGGUUGGAGGAUUGUGAUGUUGGGAUGGACACGGGACGAGUCAUUUCACCUGAUCCUUCAGAGGAAGGAGGAGAGCCCAAGUUUUUGUUCUUACAUUAAAACAUGUAUCACAUAAGCAACAGUCUCCAAUUCAUCUCUCCCUCCCUCUGUGUGUGUGUGUGUGUGUGUGUGUGUGUGUUGUGUUGUACAAAACCUACUACACUCCUCUAAUUUCCUGUGUGUGCGUCGACAGAAAGAAGGAGUGAAGGAAAACAAUUCUGAAGUGUUUCAUGACUCUCCAAAGGAUUCAGUUUGUUGUUGUUGUUGUUAAACAACCUUUAUAGUUACAAUUUUAAGCCUUUCUUCAACACCGAACACUCGGGUGCUGUUUAGGCACAAGGAGACAUAAAUAGGGAUUUAAAUGAGGACUGUUAUACCCUUAAUUAUUAAUAAUCUUCCAAAUGCAACUCCCCCCUUUAGCUGUCACUCUGCUGUGGUUUUGUGCCAAAACGAAAACGGAACGUCUUGCUGUAUUUUGUGGUGAUCACUCACGGUUCUUAUUUCAAUCGUCUGUUAUACUUGUAUGAUUCCAUAGAUUAAGACGUUGCUUUUUUACACUCCAGUUUACAGUGUUGAAGUCAAGCAGGGAAGGAAAGUACAUGAGUGGUAAGUUAUUACAAGGAAGAGGUCCGCUGUCUGAUGAUGACUAAACUGUAACCAAAGAAAGGAAAGACAAUUAAAAAUCCACAUUUUCAUUCAAGGAAGGAAUUACAUAAAGGAAGACAUGGAAAGGUUAUGGUUUUUAACUAACUAUAUUCACACUAACCCACUGGUACCUUCCUCUCUUUCCCUUUCACACAGACACACACAGAACAACUCAAGCUGUUUCAGCCAAUCACAGCUUAGGUCAAAAAACAAGCGUUGGAAGUUUCUUUUCAUUUGGGAUUUUUUAUAAAAACUGUUGGAAAACAUACAUUUCAUGUGGUUAAAUAAGAUUAGAUGUUUUUUCCCACAUAAUCGUCGCCAUUAUCAUCCUGGAAAGUUCCACUGGUUCUUUUAAAAAACUUUUAAAUCUAGAAAAUAAAUAAAUGAGUAUGAUUCUCAUCAGGUUGUCUGACUUCUUCUAGAUUUGAAUGAAUAACAACCUUUUCUUAAACACAACACCCUCUUUAAUGUCAGGAGAGACAACAGUUUGCACUUUGAUCCCUGACUCGUCUGACAGUGGCCCCUCAGUGGGGUCUAACGUUAUUUGACAGCCAAGGUUUCAGUGUAUUUAGAGGCUGUUGAAGAAUUUUUAAACGGAGUAAUAAAUUAAAUCUGUUGAAGUUGAAAUAAGAGCGAAGCAAACUAAAGAGAAACGGUUACGCUCAAACAGAUAAGGCUCAAAGGUUAAAUAAGCAUAUUAUGACAGAUUUUUUGAAUGAUCAUUUUGACUUUGUGUCUUUCAGAUAAUAAUAAAAAAAAUCUUUUCUUCAAGGAGCUUUUACCUUGAAAUCCUCUUGUUUUCAAUCACAAGUGAGUUCUGGAGAAACAUAUCGUGUUAAUGUGAACUGUAACUUCUGAGGAAAUAUCGUAACAGCUUCUCUUUUUUCAUACAUGUCAUGUGAUUUCUUUCACCUGCUUCUUAGCGUGGAGCCAAAAUAUGCAAAUCCCAUCAGAUUCAUAACACUCAGUGCCUUUCAGUCGUUCAUGUGCUUCUGCUGUGGUGUAUUAUUAUUUUCAAGGGUUCUCAGCAGGACAUAAAAGGAUCAUAAGUUAUUCUUCCACCUGACAAAAAUAUUUCAUCCUCCCUCCGUUUCAAAGAUGGACUCAAGUAAAAGUGAUAAUGACGUGAUUUAUUACCGUCUGAAUGGAUGACGGCGAGCUGAUUGCUCACGACCGGGAUUCAUGCAAUGCUGCAUAUGAAACUAAAUAUAAAUUGACAGAGAAUUUUUUCGAUGAAGUCAAAAAAUCUUUCAUGUGACAGCAUAACGCGCUCAUUAAAUCAUCCGCAGAACAGGUGAUACAAACAUUUUCAUUCAAACGACCACAAAGAAAGAAAAACACGGGACUUAAAGUGGAAAACGAGAGCUGAAUGCUGUCGGAGAGAAAAGACCCUCGGUGAACUCUGAGGCUUUUGUUUUUCCUGUUUGUAGCAUUAUUUAAAGUUUUCCGACUCACUGAAACUUUGUCCUUCUAGUCAUUUGCAUUUCUAGUUCAUAAUGUAGAUUUGGUGUGGGUGUUCAGCCUCUUCCUAUCAUGGAUUAGCGAUGUGCUCUUUUCCUUGUAAAGGAUUUUAAUUUUCUCAUACGCUGGCCUGCGUUGGUUCGCUCCAACAGAAAGACGUCUGAUGGUCCCGGUGUCAAAGAGCUCUGAUCUGGGCCGUGACAGCUUAGUCGAAUCGGCCUGUUCAACAUGCCGGUUUGACUGUCACUUUCAAUUUUCACAUGACCCCUUGGUCCUAGAAUGGGGGAUAAGUGGCAGAAAGUACGACUGAAAGCUCAAAUUAUUGGUCUGACAGCUUCACUCAUCUGAAAGUAAUGCAAAAUGCAGUUCAUAUUUAUACUCUGACCCUUUGCUCAAACAGGGAAUAUACUGUAUCUGCAUGUUAUGUUUUGAGACAAAGGCCAUGUUGGAGGGGGGGGGGGGGGGGUUCUGCAUUAUAAUUCGUCAAAAUGCACAUUCGUUUCCUUCUAAUUAUUCAGCAGAUGUUACUCAAAGAUAAAGUGCGCAACUCCCUUUUACAGUUGCUUUGCAAUAAAUAUGUUAACUAAAUGCCGUUUAGAUAGAACAACAUAUGGAUUGUUUUUGGUGCAGAAUGUAAAACUGUUUUUGCUUCAAAGAAAACACAGUUUGUGUUGCAGUUCGUGCACAGCUGGUCAUAUCGUCAAUGUCCUCCCCGGGAUGUUUUAUCUGAGCCGUAUUCAUGCACAUGUAGGCCAUAAAAGAUCAGCGGCUGGUGGACGUGGUCAUUAUCAGACAUGGUGCUAGACAGAGGGAGGGGUUCAUUGUUCACUCUGCGCUGCCGGCCCACUGACUGAAUAAGGUGUGUUCAUUGUUCAUUCUCUCGCUGUAGAAGCCACAGUCUCCAGUUUAUCCGCCAGGGUUGUUACAGUAGCUCUGAAACAUGAUGCGUCGACCAUCACAUUUUGUCAUUUGCUUAAAAAAAAACCUGAAAUAUUUGCAAUUACCUUCCACAAGGAAAACAUCCACAUAGCAGUUUAACCAAAGGACUGUAAAUGAAUGACGGUGUUUGGUUUUAAGAAAAAAGAACUACUCCGAUGGCGUUAAAUAUGUUAAACAACUCCCAAAAGGGUAAUCAACUUGGACAUGAUGGACGCGGUUUAUUUUAUUCCUUUAUUCGGCAACGCUGUUGCUACAAUAUGAGCCAAUUGUCAUAAUUCAGUGACAUCUGUGUGUGCGUCUGUCAUAACUCCAGCAGCAAACAUGCAGAGUUGGUUGACGGAGCACGAAAGGUUGUUGCUGUGGUUCCAUUUCCCUGUAUAAUCCACACUUCUUGUCCCCUGCCUGCCCUCCUAAUCCCUUGGCAUGUGUUGGUGACAUCACAUGGCUGCUGGCUCCAAGUUCUCGUCCCCCUGCAACUGUCAUUAACUCUGUGAACAAAUGAAUAAUGACUGGGAGACUCGCCGGCUCCCACCACUGACCCUGGGUAUUAUUAGAGUGACCUCUCUUUGGCUUGACCAAAAAACCUUUCUGAUAUCAUUGCUGGGAGUACACUAGGAAUGAUGGCCUGUCU